Molecule: ribosomal RNA, 253 nt
Filed under: uncultured bacterium
Lineage: Bacteria
Description: partial 16S ribosomal RNA
Rfam family: Bacterial small subunit ribosomal RNA
Source: RNAcentral
UACAGAGGCCCCAAGCGUUAUCCGGAAUUAUUGGGCGUAAAGGGUGUCCAGGCGGCCCUGUUAGUCGUUUGUAAAAUCCGUGGGCUUAACCUACGGUCUGCAAGCGAAACGGCAGGGCUCGAGGGCGCGAGAGGUACAGGGAACUCAUGGUGGAGGGGUGAAAUCCGUUGAUAUCAUGGGGAACACCAAAGGCGAAGGCACUGUACUGGCGCGUUCCUGACGCUCACACACGAAAGCCAGGGGAUCGAACAGG